GACCUGGUAGCACAACGGUCAGUGCGUCUGCCCAAUUUACAUCCGUCAAAUCGUGUAUAGGCAGAUGAUCCCUGUUCGAUUCGGGGUUAGGUCA
Molecule: non-coding RNA, 94 nt
Organism: Mycena metata
Lineage: Eukaryota; Fungi; Basidiomycota; Agaricomycetes; Agaricales; Mycenaceae
Source: the annotation of a GenBank genome assembly